This is a non-coding RNA of Carassius auratus (goldfish), 693 nucleotides long. The record is from the annotation of a RefSeq genome assembly. Lineage: Eukaryota; Metazoa; Chordata; Actinopteri; Cypriniformes; Cyprinidae.
UUCUCAGUGUCUGAAUUGAGCUAUAAUAUGAGGGAGGAGGGACUCAGUGUUCAUAUCUGACAGAGACUGUGGAUGAAUUGAUUCAGUCUGACUCUUCUCAGAGUGAACACUUGAACAAUGGAUCUUCAUUCAGUUAUUCUGCUCUGUCUCUCAGCUGCUGCUGUCUUUGGAAAUGUCAUCAAACCAGAACAGCUAGAUGUUUUUGCUGAAGAGGGUUCAAGUGUUACGUUAUCCUGUACUUUUUCUGACUCUGGAGUUACAAACUAUCUCCACUGGUACCGUCAAUAUGGAAGAUCAAAACCUGAAUUUCUUGUAUUCACCCACAGCAAAGCAAAAAUAGCUGAGGUGUCUAAGAUAGAUCCGAGAUUCUCUGUUAAUAUUCCAGAAAGUGAACGUGUGGAUCUGAUCAUCUCCUCUGCAUCUAUAUCAGACUCUGCUCUGUACUACUGUGCUCUGGCGCCCACAGUGACAGGAAACACAUCAGCUCUCUACAAAAACCUACAAAAAAGUAUCUUCUGUGUGAUGACUGCAGACCAGAUUGGACCAAAUCAAGAAACUAGUUUCAUGAAGAAGGAAGAUGAGACUGUGACCCUCAGCUGCACAUAUGAUACAAGCAGCAGUUAUGCUUAUCUGUACUGUGUGCUGGGGAGAGCACAGUGUCGAUCAACCUUUAAGAGAAAAGACUUCUGCUGA